RNAcentral lists this ribosomal RNA (631 nucleotides) under uncultured Phascolarctobacterium sp. RNAcentral describes it as "bacterial SSU rRNA". It matches the Rfam family "Bacterial small subunit ribosomal RNA", at positions 65 to 671 of the family's 1533-position model. The record is from RNAcentral. Lineage: Bacteria; Bacillati; Bacillota; Negativicutes; Acidaminococcales; Acidaminococcaceae.
AACGGGGCAUUUUAUUUCGGUAAGAUGUCAAGUGGCGAACGGGUGAGUAACACGUGGGCAACCUGCCCUUCAGACGGGGACAACAUUCCGAAAGGAGUGCUAAUACCGGAUACGCCCGCACCUACGCAUGUAGGUGCGGGGAAAGGAUGGCCUCUAUUUAUAAGCUAUCGCUGAAGGAUGGGCCUGCGUCCGAUUAGUUAGUUGGUGAGGUAACGGCCCACCAAGACGAUGAUCGGUAGCCGGUCUGAGAGGAUGAACGGCCACAUUGGGACUGAGACACGGCCCAGACUCCUACGGGAGGCAGCAGUGGGGAAUCUUCCACAAUGGACGAAAGUCUGAUGGAGCAACGCCGCGUGAGCGAUGAAGGAUUUCGGUCUGUAAAACUCUGUUGUUCAUGACGAACGUUUCCUGGGUUAAUAAUCCAGGGGAGUGACGGUAGUGAACGAGGAAGCCACGGCUAACUACGUGCCAGCAGCCGCGGUAAUACGUAGGUGGCGAGCGUUGUCCGGAAUUAUUGGGCGUAAAGAGCAUGUAGGCGGCUUUUUAAGUCGGUCGUGAAAAUGCGGGGCUUAACCCCGUAUUGCGGUCGAAACUGGAGGGCUUGAGUGCAGGAGAGGAAAGGGGAAUUCCC